AUCUCCUCCGGGGCCAGCGGGGAUCGAACUCAUGUGGAGGCCAGGCGCAGCUCGACAUCGGAGCCCUUCCACAUCCAGCAUGGUGUGUGACAUACGGGGACAUUCAACACAAGGGGUCAGGGCAGCUGGACAGGUUGUUAGGCCAAGAGAGCUGGCUUCGGGAGCGAUGGCGAUGAGGGUGGUGGCCACGGCAGUGAGGACCACGGUGGAGGCACCUCCUGAUUGUUGGAGGUUACCCAGCAGCUGCAAAUAAACGCGGUGACUUCAUCUUGAGUUUACAGAUGAGAAAACAGACUCAGCAAGGUCCAGCCUUAAAGGCAGAGUGAGUUAGAAAGGGUAACAUUGCUGUCAUCUUCCAAAUCCGGUCUGCACAGGUCACAGGUGGGGCUGUUCAGAUGGCGCCUCCUCCAUGGCCCCAGAGAGCCUCCUGCCCAGGGCUGCUCGUGGCCCUCAGCCUCUUCAGCAUCAGUGUGGCUGGUGUUGACCUUAAGGCGUUUUGCUCUAGGCAGUUUAUGGGCCUGCUGAUGUGUGACCUUUCAUAAGGAAUGAGCAGGAAAUCCAGACUUCUGUUAGAAUUUU
This is a long non-coding RNA of Condylura cristata (star-nosed mole), 579 nucleotides long. RefSeq lists it as uncharacterized. The transcript has 4 exons. The record is from RefSeq and is a predicted model, not a curated record. NCBI's taxonomy places the organism in Eukaryota, Metazoa, Chordata, Mammalia, Eulipotyphla, Talpidae.